This 460-nucleotide ribosomal RNA is filed under the name uncultured bacterium. RNAcentral describes it as "partial 16S ribosomal RNA". It matches the Rfam family "Bacterial small subunit ribosomal RNA", at positions 338 to 795 of the family's 1533-position model. The record is from RNAcentral.
CCUACGGGGUGCUGCAGUGAGGAAUAUUGGUCAAUGGGCGCGAGCCUGAACCAGCCAAGUAGCGUGAAGGAUGACUGCCCUACGGGUUGUCAACUUCUUUUAUAAAGGAAUAGAGUGAGGCACGUGUGCCUUUUUGUAUGUACUUUAUGAAUAAGGAUCGGCUAACUCCGUGCCAGCAGCCGCGGUACUACGGAGGAUACGAGCGUUAUCCGGAUUUAUUGGGUUUAAAGGGAGCGUAGAUGGGUUGUUAAGUCAGUUGUGAAAGUUUGCGGCUCAACCGUCAAAUUGCAAUUGAUACUGGCAGCCUUGAGUACAGUUGAGGUAGGCGGAAUUCGUGGUGUAGCGGUGAAAUGCUGAGAUAUCACGAAGAACUCCGAUUGCGAAGGCAGCUUACUAAACUGCCACUGACAUUGAUGCUCGAAAGUGUGGGUAUCAAACAGGAUUAGAUACCCCAGUAGUC